RNAcentral lists this long non-coding RNA (294 nucleotides) under Coffea arabica (coffee). Its description in RNAcentral is "long non-coding RNA (CARA_LNC001792)". The record is from RNAcentral. Lineage: Eukaryota; Viridiplantae; Streptophyta; Magnoliopsida; Gentianales; Rubiaceae.
CUUAAAUAAAAGGGGUUUGCAGAAGCAUUUCAAACAAUUAGAGAUCAAUGUGGAGAGAGGUAAGAGAAAAUUAUUGAGCUCAAUUUGCAGAGAGGAAAUAGAUCUCGAUUUUUGUUUGAAACACUAUGAAACCUCAAAUUAUGUACAUGCAACCAACCAUAAAUAAAUAAAUACAUAAAACAGAGAGAAAACAGUGAAUAGAUUCAUGACUUUAAUUAUGCAUGUGAAAUUAGUUGGUAAAGUGAAGGAGUUAAUUAUUGCAUGAAGUAUUUCCAGUGUAAAUAUAAGCUGCUA